RNAcentral lists this transfer RNA (73 nucleotides) under Microbacterium immunditiarum. RNAcentral's name for it is "Microbacterium sp. SK 18 tRNA". It matches the Rfam family "tRNA". From Rfam's summary of the family: Transfer RNA (tRNA) molecules are approximately 80 nucleotides in length. Their secondary structure includes four short double-helical elements and three loops (D, anti-codon, and T loops). The record is from Rfam by way of RNAcentral. Lineage: Bacteria; Bacillati; Actinomycetota; Actinomycetes; Micrococcales; Microbacteriaceae.
CCCCCUGUAGCUCAGUGGAUAGAGCAGCGGCCUUCUAAUCCGCCGGUCGGGCGUUCGAAUCGCCCCGGGGGGA